CCGCGCAGGCCUAGGCGGUUGCGAACACCCGCCUUCUACUCCCCGCGCGCUGACUUCCGGUCUUUUUCUACGUCUAUUGGUCAAACUCUCUGACUAUCGCGUCACGACCUUAAAGUGGAUUAGUUGGCCUUAUGGUCAGUCAUAGUGACCCCUGACAAUGGGAGACUUCAUUGGCCCUCUAAAGUGUCGGUCACUUUGUCACAGGACGUCGCAUGGUACAAUUGGCCGGUAAGAGUACCAUUUAUCCCGCCUCCAUCUGAGGUGACGGGAAAGGGUUGGGGAAUUUCCACUUUUGAUAAAAAUGAUGGCUGAGGUGACGGACAAUUCGCAAGAAUUGGCGCGGAGACUGCGGCCAGAGGGUUGCUGCACGGGGAUUGGAGGAAGAAGCCGUCAGUCUCAUCUAGGCUCCACCUUCCCGCCAAGCCCUGGUUGGAGGAGCGGAGCGUCAGUCACUAGAGAGAUCACCCUUUUGGGACAGGUGAGGCUGCCUGACUUAAUCUGCCUUAGGCUCUUUGGGCUGGAGGAGGGGGCCAGAAGAGGUGAGGGCCCGGGCUGGUCCUGCGCUGCACCCCUCCCGCUUUCCCAACAGGAGCCCAGCGCGCGAAGCUGAGGCGACCGUGGGUGCUGUUUGCCAUGGCCGCCCGGAGGCGAUUCGGCCCGCCCGCGCCCCGGGACGUGGCUGGGCGCGGCAGUUCUACAACCUCCGGGCUGGAUCGCCCCGCGGGGCCGCGUUCUCUUGCUUGUGGAAGGCGGCGGGCCUGAGGGCUGGACAGCGCCAUGCCUCAGUACUGGGAACUGUCCCCACGAAAGAAGGUGGGAAGGCGGCGAAGAGCGAGCGGAGUCAGACCGCGGGACAGAGGUUCAGAGUGCGUGUUCUGGAGCAGUUUCGAGUUUUGGUGCCGUCGCUUACUUGCUGUGGGACUUCUGGGCGUUUGUCGUUUAAUCUCUGAUUUUUUAGUUGGUUCACCUGUAAAAUGCGAGUCAUAUUAGUACCUCCUUCAUUGGGUUGCUGUUAUGAAUAAACUAGGUAAUAAUAACAAGGCGCUUAGCAAAGUGCCAAACUUAAAAAACUCAUUUUGUUAGCUACUCUUACUUCAAGAGCCCUCCAUCUGCCCCUGGGUCCUGCCAACCAAACUAAUUCAUGUCAGGUCCCUGUGAUGCAAAAACAAGGCGAGCUAAAGGGAUCUUUCCUCUCCUAGAGAUCUCUAACUCAGUUAUCUUCAUCUCUUUCUCUCAUUUGUCAAUAAAGAGGUGUUUAAAAAUG
Molecule: long non-coding RNA, 1264 nt
Organism: Hipposideros armiger (great roundleaf bat)
Lineage: Eukaryota; Metazoa; Chordata; Mammalia; Chiroptera; Hipposideridae
Exons: 2
Source: RefSeq, a predicted model, not a curated record